GGCAGUUUCAAAAACAGCACCAGAAAAACUAGCAGUACUAUGUAAAAAAUAGGACCAGCAACAUUGCAAUAACAAAAUUUUACAAGUUACAAUGGUGGACACAGUAAGACAAUUGAUGAUCAACAAAGAAACCAAAAAAAGUUAAUGUCCAAUUGUCAGCAUAACAAACCCAAUGUUAAAAAAGAUACCCCAUCAAAAGCAACAUUUUAAAUGAUUGAAUCUGUCGACAAGAAAUUGUCAGAUAAAAAGCCAAUUAUCAGAAAGAUGCCACAUCAAAAUAGAACUAGUUCUAGUAUUCAAUCAAUGUACAUAUGCACCAUCAAAGUCACUGAUGAUUCCUUCCUGAGAUUCAUCAUGUUAGCAGAAAGGACACUAAUAACAUCAAAAUCGUGUGACUGCAAACACCUAAAGAGGAGCCUCUGCAGAAAGAAAAAUGAGUCAGUUUAAAAA
Non-coding RNA from Arachis ipaensis, 450 nucleotides. NCBI's taxonomy places the organism in Eukaryota, Viridiplantae, Streptophyta, Magnoliopsida, Fabales, Fabaceae. The record is from RefSeq and is a predicted model, not a curated record.